CCUUAAAUCCCAAAGUCAUUAGUUUUUCCUUUCUAAAACGAGCCGCCCCUCGAGGGGUAGCGGCAACGUGGAGCACGGCGGAGCACGGUGGAGCAUUGGCGGCGGAGGAGGUGGAUGAGGAGAUGGGGAGGAUUCGGCGGCUGCAGAAUGGGUCGGACGUGAGAGGGGUGGCGAUCGCGGGGGAAAAGGGAAGGGUGGUGGAUUUGACGGCGGCAACCGUGGAGGCGAUAGCGGAGAGUUUCGCGGAGUGGGUAAUCGAGGGUAUGGAAACGGGGCAAAGCGUAAGUGUUUCGGUUGGGAGAGACCCGAGAAUUUCCGGCGGUGCUUUGAGUGUUGCGGUGUUCGCCGGAGUUAGUAGGGCAGGAUGUUUGGUGUUUGAUAUGGGACUUGCCACCACGCCGGCGUGUUUCAUGAGCACCGUUUUGUCUCCUUUUUCUUAUGAUGCUUCUAUUAUGGUUGGUUCAUGUUCAUGGACCCAAAUUUAUAUAAAUACCUAAAUUAUAUAUACUUUUUUUUACAUACUUUACUCACAUGUAUCACUAUUAUGAUUAUAAAAUAAUAACAAAUAAUUUUAGAGAGAAGAAAAACUUUUAAAACUUUUUAAUUUGAAAUAAUACCAAAAAUUUAAAAUUUAUCCUUACAACCUUUUAAAUUACUUUAUGAAUCAGAAGCAUACAUUUAUUGUUCAAAUCCACUUGACUAAAGAUAUUAUAUUUACUUAAAGAAUAUUCUUUGAACUGAGUUUAUUAUACCAAUAAUCUCUCGUUAUAUCUAUACUUUGUUGACAUCUAUAACUGAACAACUUUGAUAAAAUAAAACAAAUAUUUUGAAAGUCGAGUGACAAAAAUAGAAUAAAUUGAAGGAUUGGAAAUUCAACUUUUUUUUCUAAUUUUAUAAAAACAAAAAGAAGAAAUAAUAACUUAAACAUAAUAAAAAAAUUACACAAAAUAUUUAUUUAUUUUUGUGUUGUAGUUAACAGCAUCUCACUUACCAUAUACGCGAAAUGGGAUGAAGUUUUUCACGAAGAGAGGAGGGUUAAGCUCGCCGGAGGUGGAAGAGAUAUGCAACAGAGCCGCCAUGAAGUACGCAAACAGAGUGGUGAAAGUCUCUACUCUUCUCCGAACGCCGCCGUCAAAGGUGGAUUUCAUGGCGGCUUAUUCACAGCAUCUCAGAGAUAUCAUUAAGCAGAGAAUCAAUCAUCCUUUGCAUUAUGACACUCCUCUCAAAGGAUUUCAGGUAUUAGCUUUUCCUUUCACUCUAUCCAUGAGUCGAUACGAAAUUCCUGUUAUCCUCUGCCAAGCUUUUUAUACUGUUUAUAAACAAAAUAAAAAACCCCUCUCCCCUCUUAUAUAACCCUCAAAUUUUGUUUAAUUUUAAUAUUUGAGAACUUUUUUUUUUAAAGUAUCAUCAAUGCUCAUAAUUUUCUUUUAUAAUUCUAACUGACAAAAGUUUAUAAAUACUAUAUAGUUUAUGAAAGGAGUAUCUAUACCGUAAUACAUUUUCUGAAUAAAAAGUUACAAUUCAUAACCACAUUUUAAAAAAAUUAUAAAUAUAGCAAAACUAUAUCGUUGAUAGACUUGGUCAAGUCUAUCAAGGAUAAAUCAAUAUUUGCAGCAUGGUCUAUCGGUGAUAGACUUAUAUUAUUGAUAGAAUUUGACAAAUUUUGUUAUAUUUAUAAAUUUUUUAAAAUGUUGCUAUAUAGUUAAUUAUUUUGAAUCUAAAUACUAAAUUUGCAACUACCGAUUUUGUAAUUAAAUUUUGGUUUUAGUUUUCAUUUGUAAUUAGUUACAUUUUUACUCUUUAACAAAUUUUAAGUUUAUUUUUUAUUUGGUUCCUCCAUUUCAAAAUUUUACAUUUUCGAAUAAUUAUUAUAAGUUUGAUAUUUAAUGAUUAGGUUUAAUUUUUAAAACUUACAUGUUUAUCCUUGAGUUUACAUAAACUUUGAUAUUUAGCUUAUGUUAAGUGACUAAGUAAUGGAAAAGGGAAGUUUUUAAAAAGUAAAGAUUGAAAAUAAAAGUGAGAUUGAAAAAAAAAAGAAAGUUAUUCUAAAAAACUAAAGAAAUAAUAUAAAAAAGAAAUAGGAAGUUGUGUUAUCUAGAUUUUGUGUUGGUUGCAUGGCUUUCUCCUUAUCUCUCGAGAUUUGAACUACGUUUGUGGUGUUUAUUGCUUCAUCCAAAACCACCAUUUGGUUGCUGUCUAUUUUUAGUUUAAUUUCUACUUUUUGUUUCUAUUCAUUUAACUCUAAAUCUUUAUAAAUUAAAAAAUAAAUAAAAAAUUCAGUCUCUCUAUUUUCUCAUUUAUUACUAUUUAGCUUCCAUGUUUAACUAUAUAGUAUUAAAAUUUAAUCAAAUUUUCUAGACCCAUAAUUAUAUUAAAUUUAUUAAAGUUCAGUUUCGUUUAUCAAUAACUAAUUUCAAUAUAUUUCUGUUAUCUAAGUUCUCUUCUCAAAUACUUAACUUUUCCCAUUGAUCAUUUCCCUCUUCAAGUUUUUAUUCACCUAUGUGAUCUCCAAUUAAUUCCCUUUCCACAUAGUUUCUCUUUUCAAACUACUUUAUAGUACAUUGUCAAAUUUACAAGUAUUUUAUGUACAAAGUAUUGGUUAUAUUAGAGAGAAAAAAUACUUAAAGAAAAAAAAUGGGAAAUUUUUAAAUACGUUAAUUUAUAUAUAGAGUAGAGUUUAAAUGCUUUAGUUUAUAUAUAAGUUUAUUUAAAAAGAAAAUGAAUAAAAGGAUGUGUAAUUGAAAGUUUUCCCAAUGAAUUUGCAGAUAAUAGUAAAUGCUGGCAACGGAUCAGGGGGCUUCUUCACAUGGGAUGUGUUAGAUAAGCUGGGCGCAGACACCUUUGGCUCUCUCCAUCUCAACCCAGACGGUAUGUUCCCCAACCACAUCCCUAACCCAGAAGACAAAACCGCCAUGUCUCUCACUCGAGCCAAAGUCCUCGAAAACAAAGCCGACCUCGGUGUCGUCUUCGACACUGACGUUGACCGUAGUGGUGUGGUGGAUCACCAGGGCAACCCAAUCAAUGGUGACAAACUCAUCGCCCUAAUGUCCUCCAUCGUCCUUCGAGACCACCCUGCCACCACCAUCGUCACCGACGCCCGUACCAGUGUUGCUCUCACGAAGUUCAUUACCAGCCGAGGUGGACGACAUUGUCUGUACCGCGUCGGGUAUCGCAAUGUCAUUGACAAAGGAAUCCAACUCAACAUGGAUGGAAUCGAGACGCAUCUC
Molecule: long non-coding RNA, 3227 nt
Filed under: Cucumis sativus (cucumber)
Lineage: Eukaryota; Viridiplantae; Streptophyta; Magnoliopsida; Cucurbitales; Cucurbitaceae
Description: long non-coding RNA (CSAT_LNC001869)
Source: RNAcentral